AGAGUUUGAUCCUGGCUCAGAGUGAACGCUGGCGGCGUGCCUAACACAUGCAAGUCGAACGAUGAUAGGAAGCUUGCUUCCUUGAUUAGUGGCGCACGGGUGAGUAUACCAUAGAUAAUGUACCUCUUAGUUCGGGAUAGCCACUGGAAACGGUGAUUAAUACCGGAUACUCCUUCUCGUUAUAAGGCGAGUCGGGAAAGUUUUUUCGCUAAGAGAUCAGUCUAUGUCCUAUCAGCUAGUUGGUGAGGUAAUGGCUCACCAAGGCUAUGACGGGUAUCUGGUUUGAGAGGAUGAUCAGACACACUGGAACUGAGACACGGUCCAGACUCCUACGGGAGGCAGCAGUGAGGAAUAUUGCACAAUGGAGGAAACUCUGAUGCAGCAACGCCGCGUGGAGGAUGACGCAUUUCGGUGUGUAAACUCCUUUUAAGAGGGAAGAUAAUGACGGUACCUCUUGAAUAAGCACCGGCUAACUCCGUGCCAGCAGCCGCGGU
Molecule: ribosomal RNA, 494 nt
Filed under: uncultured bacterium
Lineage: Bacteria
Description: bacterial SSU rRNA
Rfam family: Bacterial small subunit ribosomal RNA
Source: RNAcentral